Acipenser ruthenus (sterlet) is the source of this 346-nucleotide long non-coding RNA. RefSeq lists it as uncharacterized. The record is from RefSeq and is a predicted model, not a curated record. The transcript has 2 exons. Lineage: Eukaryota; Metazoa; Chordata; Actinopteri; Acipenseriformes; Acipenseridae.
AUGGAUCGGCUGAAGGCUCCCGACUGUGUGUCCAGGGGGAGAGAACCAAGUACACGACCACCGUGUGUAGAAACAUUGUCGGCUGCUGCAAAGCCAUAGACAUGGGAUGAAGAUUGUCCAUGCUACCUGGACAAAGAGAGCGAAACAUCUUGCUGAAGACCUCUGAUCGCUGUGAGGGUAAACCGGGAUAGGAGCCUUCAGAAGAAACUGAAAUCGCUGACAGCCAGGCAUGUAGAUCCAGCAAAAAGAGUAAACAAAUUGCCAUCUAAUCAGUUUGCUUUAUGAAAUGCAAAAAUAAGAUCAAGAAGAAUUGAUGUCAAUAAAGGCAACAUGCCUUUAAAAUAUA